Molecule: ribosomal RNA, 400 nt
Filed under: uncultured bacterium
Lineage: Bacteria
Description: bacterial SSU rRNA
Rfam family: Bacterial small subunit ribosomal RNA
Source: RNAcentral
UGAGGAAUAUUGGACAAUGGGUGAGAGCCUGAUCCAGCCAUCCCGCGUGAAGGACGACGGCCCUAUGGGUUGUAAACUUCUUUUGUAUAGGGAUAAACCUACUCUCGUGAGAGUAGCUGAAGGUACUAUACGAAUAAGCACCGGCUAACUCCGUGCCAGCAGCCGCGGUAAUACGGAGGGUGCAAGCGUUAUCCGGAUUUAUUGGGUUUAAAGGGUCCGUAGGCUGAUUUGUAAGUCAGUGGUGAAAUCUCACAGCUCAACUGUGAAACUGCCAUUGAUACUGCAAGUCUUGAGUGUUGUUGAAGUAGCUGGAAUAAGUAGUGUAGCGGUGAAAUGCAUAGAUAUUACUUAGAACACCAAUUGCGAAGGCAGGUUACUAAGCAACAACUGACGCUGAUGG